UGACGUAUUGUGUUGUUUGAGAUAUUCAAACUUUGAGCGUAGAAACUUGUUGAAAAACCAGUCAAAAAACAGGGUGGAGGGAAUCCCAGUUAAGGUGCUAUGAGUCUCAUUCUGGGUUUCAUCAUCUGUCUAAUCGAAGGCACAAUUAAUAGCGAAAUCGAGUGCUGACAAGCACCGGUGUUUUGGUGAUUGGAUGAUUCACUCCGAAGAGUGAAAUUCCCCUUCGAAAGCAUGUCCGAACAUAAUAAUCAGCUGAUUAAGGGCACGUGGUCUCGAUAUCUGUCUGUAUCAUCUUUGAGCAGCAGCCGUUGGGAGAGUGACCGUAAAUUGCGUGCGUGGAGGAUAGGAGGUGAAGAACAGCUGGAGAGCAGCCGGCCGUCGAUCUGUCCACCUAACCACCAAAUAGACGUUCAUUCCUUAAUAAUAACAAGCAGCCGCGAGACAAGACGGACACGUGCCAUUCCUUCCCCAUUGUAUGCAAAAUUAUUGAGAGAUUUUCAAUCGAAAGUGCCAAAACGCAUUCCGCCACGUCCUAACACCCGUAAUUGAUUCCAUAAGGGAGGAGAGAUCUGUUUGUUUGUCCCACGAGUGUAGAUCAUCAAUUCCCAAAUUAAAUGUUGUAACAUGAGAUGAUGCGAGGGAAGCUGUGACAUUUACGCUGACAUUUGGGGCGUCCCUGGGGCGAUAUGCGGGCCAAUUUCGUAAGGUGUUUAUGAAUUGUUGUUGCUUUUUUCAACAUCAUUUCGUUUUCGAUUCUGCGCGCGGAUGUGGCGAUGGUGAAUGCACUCGUAUUGAAUUGGUAAGCAGAAAUCGAAGAAGAGGCGAGAAUUGCGUGCGUAGUUGUUACAACAUCCGAUCGACGGACGAAAGUCAAUCUAUUCGGGGCUUAUUCAGCGAUUAUAGGCGCGAAUAUCCCGAUCGCGACAUCAGCAACACGACACAUUGCAACAGUUUUCAAGCCAACAUCAUUUCGUGGCUUUUUCAUUUUUGUUGGUAAUAAAAAUUAUAAAACAA
Tribolium castaneum (red flour beetle) is the source of this 1014-nucleotide long non-coding RNA. RefSeq lists it as uncharacterized. The record is from RefSeq and is a predicted model, not a curated record. NCBI's taxonomy places the organism in Eukaryota, Metazoa, Arthropoda, Insecta, Coleoptera, Tenebrionidae. The transcript is spliced from 3 exons.